This 742-nucleotide ribosomal RNA is filed under the name uncultured bacterium. Its description in RNAcentral is "bacterial SSU rRNA". It matches the Rfam family "Bacterial small subunit ribosomal RNA", at positions 8 to 796 of the family's 1533-position model. The record is from RNAcentral.
AGAGUUUGAUCAUGGCUCAGAGCGAACGCUGGCGGCAGGCCUAACACAUGCAAGUCGAACGGACUCUUCGGAGUUAGUGGCGGACGGGUGAGUAACACGUGGGAACGUGCCUUUAGGUUCGGAAUAAGCUCGGGAAACUGGGUCUAAUACCGAAUGUGCCCUUCGGGGGAAAGAUUUAUCGCCUUUAGAGCGGCCCGCGUCUGAUUAGCUAGUUGGUGGUGUAAUGGACCACCAAGGCGACGAUCAGUAGCUGGUCUGAGAGGAUGACCAGCCACAUUGGGACUGAGACACGGCCCAAACUCCUACGGGAGGCAGCAGUGGGGAAUCCUGCGCAAUGGGCGAAAGCCUGACGCAGCCAUGCCGCGUGUAUGAUGAAGGUCUUAGGAUUGUAAAAUACUUUCACCGGUGAAGAUAAUGACUGUAGCCGGAGAAGAAGCCCCGGCUAACUUCGUGCCAGCAGCCGCGGUAAUACGAAGGGGGCUAGCGUUGCUCGGAAUUACUGGGCGUAAAGGGAGCGUAGGCGGACAUUUAAGUCAGGGGUGAAAUCCCAGAGCUCAACUCUGGAACUGCCUUUGAUACUGGGUGUCUUGAGUGUGACAGAGGUAUGUGGAACUCCGAGUGUAGAGGUGAAAUUCGUAGAUAUUCGGAAGAACACCAGUGGCGAAGGCGACAUACUGGCUCAUUACUGACGCUGAGGCUCGAAAGCGUGGGGAGCAAACAGGAUUAGAUACCCCGGUAGUCC